Long non-coding RNA from Oncorhynchus nerka (sockeye salmon), 1319 nucleotides. RefSeq lists it as uncharacterized. Lineage: Eukaryota; Metazoa; Chordata; Actinopteri; Salmoniformes; Salmonidae. The record is from RefSeq and is a predicted model, not a curated record. The transcript is spliced from 2 exons.
UUAGCUAGCUAGUAUGAAUUAUAUAGUAGCUAGCUAGAAAUGUGAAAGUUAACAGAUAACGUUAGACAUUAAUUUGAGAGAAGUUAGCUUUUUGUACAUAUGGAACAUUUCUGGGAUGUUUUAUUUCAGCUCAUGAAACAAACACUUUACAUGUUGCGUUUAUAUUUUUGUUCAGUAUAAUUAAAUCAAUGUCUGUAUAUAUGUAGACUUCAAUGCACAUGAAAGUUACCUACUUAGUUAGCCAGUUAUAUACACUGUAUAUAUGUAGACUUCAAUGCACAUGAAAGUUACCUACUUAGUUAGCCAGUUAUCGUGUGCGGCUACAAUAUGUAAACAUGGGUUAGUUCGCGACGAUGCGAUUCCUUUCCGAUGCUAAUGAUUGUAUCCAGUAUCCACCUGCACUGAGACAAUGUAGCUAGCUACUUUAUUCGGUUAAUUCAGGUUACUGCACGUUUAUUCAUGUUUCCUUGCAAUUGCAAAUACCGUGAGCAAAAAUGACCAGGGGGAAGGUAGCUUUAGGUUCCGCUAACACCGAGUUGAGUCUGUGUCAAGCUAGCUAACAAUGUAUCUGGGAGCCAGUCGCUUACCUCCAUAAUACCGAGAAACGGUGUGAAACAGGGCUAUAGGCCAGGAACGCCAUCUUGGCUCCUCCAUGACAACAAGCAGACAGAUGGGAUGCAGCGGAGCCGUCGGGGGCUGAGCACACCCGCGCGUCCACGACUCCGAAUUCCGCUACUGUUGUUGCGUGGGGCAUGGCUGGUGCGGGCUUCUCGGAUGCUGCUACUGCAACCACCUGCAUAUGCUUUUCAUCUUCCAUCAUUAGUGCAAACCUGGUUUAAAACAAUCAGUAGUACAAUUAGAGGAUCCUGAAAACUUAUUCUGCAAACUCUUGACAGCUGUUUGAAUUGUAUUCAUUGUAUGUCAUCAUUCCGCUCCUGGAACUAUAUAUUGUGGUGACUUUACUUUCUUGAUUGCCAUGGGGUUUUGAUAUCAGCUUAAAGACAGUAAGGGGAUUGGCUGCAUCUGCUAUAAUAAAGAUCAGAGAUAACAAGGCAGGACUUGGAUAGACUACAAAAAGCACUCAUAAAAAAACAAAGCACUCACUUGCUUGCUUCCGAUGUUAGUCUAGGAACGGCUUCCAACUUUUUCCCUAUAAAUGGACCUUGAACCUAUGAUAGGAAAAUAUGUUCGAAAACUCAUAGUAACCGCAGUAUUUGUGAUGUGAAUUUAGUAUGCUUAUUGGUCAUAAUAUGGAUAUAGUUAUAAUGCCAAAUGUUCCCUGAUGUACUAAAUUCGUGCAUAAACUGUUUCCUUACUUU